Molecule: long non-coding RNA, 13795 nt
Filed under: Triticum aestivum (bread wheat)
Lineage: Eukaryota; Viridiplantae; Streptophyta; Magnoliopsida; Poales; Poaceae
Description: long non-coding RNA (TAES_LNC009405)
Source: RNAcentral
CACAGGGGUGGUGGUCAGGUCAUCCCAACAGCCAGGAGGGUCAUUUACGCUUCUCAGCUCACUGCCAAGCCAAGGCUGCUGGAGCCUGUGUACCUGGUUGAGAUCCAGGCCCCGGAGAAUGCACUUGGCGGUAUCUAUGGUGUUCUGAAUCAGAAGAGAGGGCACGUGUUUGAGGAGAUGCAGAGGCCUGGUACCCCGCUGUACAACAUCAAGGCUUACCUCCCGGUCAUCGAGUCGUUUGGGUUCUCAAGUACCCUCAGGGCGGCGACAUCUGGCCAGGCUUUCCCCCAGUGUGUGUUCGACCAUUGGGACAUCAUGUCUUCUGAUCCUUUGGAGGCCGGCUCCCAGUCCGCGACCCUUGUCACAGAGAUCCGCAAGCGCAAGGGUCUCAAGGAACAGAUGACCCCUCUAUCUGAUUUCGAGGACAAGCUCUAAACUUUUGCUUCUGUUACAUGGUCUAGUUUGCUUUUGCUGCUAAGAGAGCUGCACUAUUAUCUGUCUAUUGAGUCGUCGUCGCUGUAUUGCUAUUGGAAUGUACUCCUAUCUGUCGUGAUACUGGCACUUUGUUUUGAUGUCUGUCGAUGUUAAAACUUAGAUUAUAUAUCUGUCGCGAUACUUUUGAUGUCUAUCAAUGUUAAAACUUAGACUAUAUAUCUGUUAUGGUAGUUCUUGUUGAUGUCUUGUUUGCUUUUGUGUUAGAUCUUGAGAUCUCUGCCUGGUUCUUUAUUUUGCUCUAGUCUUGCUCUAUAUUUUUAAUGAUCUUGAGAGCUCCUCUACUUGCAGUAUUUCUUCCUGCUCUUAUCAUCAUUUUACCUUCCAUGUUUUAUGCCCAUCAAAAUGUGUUCCAUCUUCUGUCAGUUGUAUUUCAAUCUAUGCUGUACUUGUUUUUCUCCAUUUUCACGAGACACGCACUGAUGAUGAGAAAUUGCUCCCUAGUGCUAGAUACAUCUGUUGAGCAAACAACAUUUCAGACGGAGGAUGUAGUACAUUAGAGGAACUUGCCGAGAGAAUAUACUGUAGUAGAAGCAUCUGUUAAUGCCGAGAGUAUCCGAACUUGUAUCUCUUCGGAAUACUACAGAUUGAACCUUUGUAGGCAUGAAAGAAUAUUCACAUAAUUUUCAUGCUCAGUAACUCUCUUACUCCACGGUCAUAGCAAUAUUGAGUUCUGAAGUUGUUCAUGGUAAAUUCUGGCAUAUAAUUGAUUUGUCUGCUAUUUCUUUACUGUUACUGGAUGCAAUGUACUGAGUAGUUGUACACGGGCUCUAUGUAAUUAUGACACUUGCAAAUAAGCUUCAACCUUUUAAUUUUUGCUGAAACAUAGGCAUGCCAUUUAAUGACUUGUUUUCAUGACCAACUUUGCCACAAUUAAGCUUAGGCAAAGAGUGGCUAACAAAAUGUUUACUACAAGUGUGGCAAGAUUUGGCAAAAAAUUUGAGCCUAUGACAUGUGGAUCAUAUAGCUAGAAAAGUGUGGCAGCUAAGUGUGGCAAUAAACUAAAUACAUGCCUAAGAUGUUGUGGCACGACUAAGGUUAGACGCGGAAACCUUACGCUGCAAAUCAAACAUACCUUAACUAAAAUAAAGUGAUCUCAGGUUUCUUAAUUUGGACACGAUGUUCAUAAAUACAAAUAAUACUCUCUCCGUAUCUAAUACUAAAACGUGACUUGAUACAUCCGUAUUUAGACAAAUCUAAGACAAGAAUUUUGGGACGGGGGAGUAGAUGAUUGGCUUUGGUCAGUGUGUUCUGGCCGCUUUAUGGAUGCUUACUUUUAUCUUUUAUGAAAUUUCAAUACUUUUCAAAAGACAAGACAGACUUUUAAUUGCCAACAAAAAUAGUACGGGAAAAUAGGGCUGAGGCUCGUCCAUCAAAUUCUCCGCUAAAAGGGAAAAUAUAAAGUGGCGGAGCUAACAAUAAUUUUGAUUGAUUGCAUUCAUCUUUGGAUGAAAGCUUAGUUUGAGCAUGAUUCUCCAAAAAUAUUACCUAAAUGAUAAGCUUAAAAUCCGUAGCCUCCUAUUCACCAUCUCUAGUCAAUCAUGUCGAUCAUUUCAAUGGAUAUUAGAGUUAUGGAUCUUUAUUACGGCUUACCGCCUAAAGAGAAUAAGGUCGAUGCCGGGAAAUCCACCGGUGGUGCCCCUAUGGUACAUGGUGAGCUUCCCGUCACCACACAACUGUUGCCUUGACCAUGGUGGACUUUACGUUAAUGUUGGAUUUUUAAGUCCGCCAUGAUAAAAGAAGUUCAUUCCAUUUUCAAGGAAGAGGUGGGCUCGAAAGUCAAAGCCUCUACAUCCGCACAAUCCUCAUUUGCUCCAAGUGAGGUUCGUGAUGUGGACGAUGUAAGAGAACAUCUUGCUCUCCCCGAACCUACAAUUGCACCCCUCGCAAUUCCAUAGAGUGCCACUACACACUAUGACCUAUCCAACAUCCGGAUAUUAAUCAUGUUGGGCCUCCGCCCCCUUUGAAAGCUAACACAUUUUCUAAGCGGAAACUCACUCUGGAGUCUCACAUUUACAGUGCCUCUACACAACUCUCAUGGGUGAUUGCGAAUGGUUUCAAGCCCAAGGACCCAUCAAGCCUUACACCAAGGGAAGCCGUUGAUGAUCGAUUCAUUACCACCGCCUUCAACAUGCUCCGGCUUGCCACCACCGAUGAGUAUGCCAAUUCCAUUGCUAUCUUCAAGCCCCCCAAAGAAAUUUGAGAUUGCAUUGAGGAUAUAUUUGAAGGACAUGACAAUGUUCAGAGAUCUAGGUUGGUCAUUGUUCGUCAAUUUGUCCAUAAGGAAUGUGAGAGAGACCACUGAAGAGGUGUUCUGGAGAUUGAAGUCACUUGUGUUGGAUUCGAGAAACUUUUGGAGCCAUGGUCUUUACGAAUCAUACUAUGAUCAUGAUGAUCCACCAACAUCCCGACUAUGACCGAAUGACUCCCAAUCGAGUUGUGUCUUCUUUUGGAGAUCAAGUCCAAGAACACAAUGGCGAUUGAUCAAGAAAUAAAGAACUCCAAUCUAGCGCUAAAGGCCAAGAAGGUGGUCGGAUGUGCUACGAGAGAAGAAGUUGAUACCUCGUGUCAGGUUGACUUUGAGGAAGACUUGACCCUCUAGGUCAAGAAAUAUUCGGGCACAAAAGCAAAGAAAAGGGGAAGCAUCUUAAGGGAACAUCCUUUGGGAGAAGAACGUGCCACAAUCUUAUUAAUGUUACAUGGAGAAGAUUUCGUUUUGCGAUUGACUUCUCUCUCGCGCCAUCCGCCUCGCGAGCCGUCCGAUCAAGGUUGAUCGUGCUGCACUCAUCGUAUGUCACCCGUCCACCUGGGGCCCAUGCACCACCGUCCGCAUUAUAUCCAGCGCAACAACGAGAGCCACUCGCUCCCCCCCACAUGAGUGAGAUCCCCAUUUUUCCUCUUCAUAUUUGAAUCCCUCUUUGCACGGCCCCGUCGGAGCAGUCGCAAGCGGCAUGUAGCACCUGACGGGGAACCUGCUGCACCCUAGCAGCCGGCGACCCACAGCACCCGCGUCGGCGUUGCCCAGCAUCGUCGACCGUUCCCGUGCCCUAUGUUGCCGAGCAUCGUUGGCCGUUGCUGCGGUCGGUGUUGCCGAGCACGUCUGCGCUCAGCUCUCAUCUUCUUUUUUUUUUGAGGCACGCUCAGCUCUCAUCUGAAAUUCUCACCACGCCUGGACAUCAUCCCUUUCGGCCCGACUCCACAGUGGACAACAGACAGGCCAGCUUCACUUGCGGGCCGCAUUUCGCGUGGCCGGCCUUCCCCCUCCGCUCCGCGCGCAUCUUGGCCCGCACGGAACCAACAAAAUAGCAUAUAUAACGGCCAGCAAAUGCGACCUAGAGAGUCCUCACUUCCUUGAACCCUUUCCAUUCUCACGGAUCGGGAGCGCCGCCGCUUCCCCACCUCUCGUCUCUCGGCGAACCCCCAAGGUGAGCCGAACCUCCCCUCCCGCCUCCUCCCCCGCGCCCUCCGGCUGCUUCUCCGGCUGCUCCGUCGGCGGGCGCGUCCCUGCUAGCUAGCUACUGGCUGCUACCUGGCCGACCGAUUUCACGGGCUCUAGUCCAGCCUCCUCGCUAGCUCGAUGCGGUCCAGUCCCCUUUGCUGGGUUCGUGGCCGCUGGGAUUAUUCCUAUGUGGUUUCGAUGCUCUUAGACGCGGUAGAUCUGCUGCUUCGUUCGUCCCGCUCGCUUGUUCCUGGCGACGACUUUGUGCUGACGUCACUAGAUAGAUAAGCUCGUCGCUUCCGAUGCGCUUCUGCGGUGGCUAAGGGUGUUUGCCCCGUCGUGUUUAGCGAGGAUCUGCCCGCUCCGCCGUGGUGGACGGCGAUCUGUUUUAUGUGGUGUUCCGUUAGCUUUUUUCGCCAUUUUUUGCUGCGCUGCUGUUCAUCCACGGGCUCUUAGCAUGCUCAAGCUGCAGGGUUUUGCUCACUCGGUUGCCUGCCUGCCGUACCCUGGUUGGUUUCGUUCUCUGUUCUCAUGUUCAGGGCGGAGGAAAUGGUGAUGCAUACCUUUGCUUGGCAUGUUUAAUUUAAUUUGAUUGUGUAUAUAGAACGGGAGACUCUUAUAGAAUGGUGUGUCAGUUCUUAUCUACUUAUAGUUGAGGUAUUAUGGGUGAAUUUAUCCCUCAUCUGUUUUAUUUGGUUAAAUUGAUCCUAUGUGACUAUCUUCUGGUGUUCUUCUCAGUGCUCCCCAUGCAUGGUUGGUUGCACCUAUUUCAGAGCUCAACAUUAUGACCUUCUGUGCAUCGCAUUGUUUCUAGUGUUUACAGUGGUAGUUACUACUACAUGAUAAUACAGUCAGCACGUGUGCAUAAAACUAAAACUACCUUCUGUCACAAAUCAACUUUGCAUAAAACUACGAUUCUGUUUCGAAUCUGAUUUGUUUUCUCCAUCCACAUAUGAUUGAUUCAUGAGAGAUGUUUCUAUGAUCCACAAAGUUAUACAGAUCUGUAGGUACUUGAAGGUUUAGCUAGUGAAAUCCAUUACCUGUUUGUGCUUCAUACUUGCGCACACUUCAGAUAAUGGACUGCUUUUCUUUCUUAUCUUUCUUACUGUUUUGUGCUUUCUUUCGCAUACUGUCAUGUCGAGUGCUCUAAAAAUUGGUUGCCAUUGUUGCUUUCUGGCUUCCUUUUGAACGCACUUUGGGCAAUUAAGUUUUCAGAACAUGGUCUUCAGUUCCCAUAAGUUAGUUUUAGUAUGCUUGGUUGACUGUAACACAUAUUUCAUUUUAGUGGGUGUGGUUGUGGAAGUGUUGGUUAAAGUAUUUUUGGUACUGUACUUGAAGCUAAUGUGUGCCCAACAGUAGUAAGAGCCUUCUGUUUAUUCAGUUGUGGUUUUAAUUACUUAAUUUUUGUUCCAUUCUGAACAGGAACUAUAUUCCCAGCGUGAUAUCCAAAACCAGUCAAGAUGGUGAAGUUUACUGCGGAGGAGCUCCGCGGAAUUAUGGACAAGAAAAAUAAUAUUCGUAACAUGUCUGUUAUUGCUCAUGUCGACCACGGUAUGUGCCUGAACAUACAGUUGUCUCUAAUUAUUGAGUUCAUACAGUAGAAUCUUUGUUAAUCAAUGUUUUCAGCCUCUUAAUUUUACUGUAUUUAAUUCUAAAUACUGAAACUAUUUAAAUGGGUCAAUUUAACAAGUGGAGCAUAAUUAGUUUCAUCCCUAAAACCAAUCCAUCUUAUUGUGUCCUGGAGUUUACUACCACUGCUUAUUAUAUGAUUGAUUUCUGCUUCACCAAUAUGACUGAUUUCUGCUUCACCAAGCUUAAAUGUUACUGUUGACAUACCAUCCCAGGGCUUAUAUCUCCCCAGUUUGGUGUAUUCUCACAUUGUCCCUGAAUGCAUUACACUUGUAGGAUCUGAAAUUUACAUGAUUGUACUUAGUUACUUCAAUAUUGAUGUCCUUAUAUUCUGUUUGCAAUGUCCCACUAGAUUUUGCUUAACCAUGUUGCUAAAAACCUUGUUGAGCUUAUUUGUACCUUCUUUUGUUUCCUGAUUGUUUGAAAGUACUGUACUGCUGUGUCCUACUUCUGCCUUAUAUGAGUUAACAUGUUCGAUUUUCUAUUCAUAUAGGUUGUGUUCAACUGUCAAACCAGAUGCUUGUGCACUGUUCUCACAUAUUAUUUACAUAUUUGCAGGCAAGUCUACGCUUACGGAUUCCCUUGUGGCAGCUGCUGGGAUUAUCGCCCAGGAAGUUGCUGGGGAUGUUCGCAUGACCGAUACCCGUGCAGAUGAGGCAGAGCGUGGUAUUACAAUCAAAUCCACGGGUAUCUCUCUUUUCUAUCAGAUGACUCCUGAAUCACUUGAGAUGUACAAGGGCGACAGGGAUGGAGAUGAAUACCUGAUCAACCUUAUUGAUUCACCUGGCCACGUUGACUUUUCUUCGGAAGUCACAGCUGCUCUUCGUAUCACUGAUGGUGCUUUGGUGGUUGUUGACUGUAUUGAGGGUGUCUGUGUGCAGACCGAAACUGUGCUGCGCCAAGCUCUUGGUGAGAGGAUUAGGCCCGUCCUCACCGUGAACAAGAUGGACAGAUGCUUCCUUGAGCUUCAGUUUGAAGGUGAGGAAGCAUAUCAGACUUUCUCCCGUGUCAUCGAAAAUGCCAAUGUCAUCAUGGCAACAUAUGAAGAUGUGCUCCUUGGUGAUGUCCAAGUGUACCCAGAAAAGGGGACUGUUGCAUUCUCUGCUGGUUUGCAUGGGUGGGCUUUCACCCUUACAAACUUUGCUAAGAUGUAUGCCUCCAAGUUUGGUGUUGAUGAGGUGAAGAUGAUGGAGAGGCUGUGGGGUGAGAACUUCUUUGACCCAGCCACAAAGAAAUGGACCACCAAGAACACUGGGACAGCUACCUGCAAGAGAGGUUUUGUUCAGUUCUGCUAUGAGCCAAUCAAGCAAAUCAUCGCCACCUGCAUGAAUGAUCAGAAGGAUAAGUUGUGGCCUAUGUUGAAGAAGCUUGGUGUGACCAUGAAGAAUGAUGAGAAGGACUUGAUGGGAAAGGCUCUCAUGAAGCGUGUGAUGCAGACUUGGCUGCCUGCCAGUCGUGCUCUGCUUGAGAUGAUGAUAUUUCACCUCCCCUCUCCUUCAAAGGCACAGAGGUAUCGUGUGGAGAACUUAUACGAGGGCCCCCUUGAUGAUGUAUAUGCAAAUGCUAUCAGAAACUGUGACCCUGACGGUCCUCUUAUGCUGUAUGUCUCCAAGAUGAUUCCAGCAUCUGACAAGGGUAGAUUCUUUGCCUUUGGACGUGUUUUUGCCGGGAGGGUUGCAACUGGCAUGAAGGUCCGUAUCAUGGGUCCCAACUUUGUUCCUGGCCAGAAGAAGGAUCUGUAUGUGAAGAGUGUCCAGCGUACUGUUAUCUGGAUGGGAAAGAAGCAAGAGUCUGUUGAGGAUGUUCCCUGUGGUAACACUGUUGCUUUGGUUGGUUUGGAUCAGUUCAUCACCAAGAAUGCAACCCUGACAAAUGAGAAGGAAGUUGAUGCCUGCCCAAUCAGGGCAAUGAAGUUCUCUGUGUCCCCUGUUGUGCGUGUUGCUGUUCAGUGCAAGGUGGCUUCUGAUCUUCCUAAGCUUGUUGAGGGUUUGAAGCGUCUGGCCAAGUCUGAUCCUAUGGUUCUCUGUACCAUUGAAGAGUCUGGUGAGCAUAUCAUUGCUGGAGCUGGAGAGCUUCACCUUGAAAUCUGUCUGAAGGAUCUGCAGGAUGACUUCAUGGGUGGUGCUGAAAUUAUUGUUUCCCCUCCUGUUGUCUCCUUCCGUGAGACUGUUCUGGAGAAGUCCUGCCGUACCGUUAUGAGCAAGUCCCCCAACAAGCACAACCGUCUUUACAUGGAAGCUCGCCCGUUGGAGGAGGGAUUGGCUGAGGCUAUCGAUGAUGGCCGCAUUGGCCCGCGUGAUGAUCCUAAGGUGCGCUCCAAGAUCCUGUCUGAGGAGUUUGGGUGGGACAAGGAUCUCGCCAAGAAGAUUUGGUGCUUUGGACCUGAGACGACUGGCCCCAACAUGGUUGUUGACAUGUGUAAGGGAGUGCAGUAUCUGAAUGAAAUCAAGGACUCUGUUGUGGCUGGGUUCCAGUGGGCAUCAAAAGAAGGAGCAUUGUGUGAGGAGAACAUGCGUGGUAUCUGCUAUGAGGUCUGUGAUGUUGUUCUCCACACUGAUGCUAUUCACAGGGGUGGUGGUCAGGUUAUCCCAACGGCGAGGAGGGUCAUUUACGCUUCUCAGCUCACUGCCAAGCCAAGGCUGCUGGAGCCCGUGUACCUGGUUGAGAUCCAGGCCCCGGAGAACGCACUUGGUGGUAUCUAUGGUGUGCUGAAUCAGAAGAGAGGCCACGUGUUCGAGGAGAUGCAGAGGCAAGGUACCCCACUCUACAACAUCAAGGCCUACCUGCCUGUUAUCGAGUCCUUCGGGUUCUCGAGCACCCUGAGGGCCGCGACGUCCGGCCAGGCCUUCCCCCAGUGUGUGUUUGACCACUGGGACGUCAUGGCCUCCGAUCCUUUGGACCCUGGCACCCAGUCGGCGACGCUCGUGACGGAGAUCCGCAAGAGGAAGGGUCUCAAGGAGCAGAUGACCCCCCUAUCCGACUUCGAGGACAAGCUCUAAAUUUUGGGGCUUCGAGGACAAGCUCUAAAUUUUGGGGCCAUGUUUUGGUACUGGCUCUUGCUGUGAAGGGAGGCGCGGUAUUUUUCUCCCUAUGUGUCUUCCUUACUAUGUUGUUGUUUGUAUGUGGUGCUACUGAGACUAUGGUUUUGAUGAUGGUUGUGGUGAUGUAACAGAUGUUAAACUUAGAUCAUACAUUUCUGGCAUCCCAUGGUGGUUUAUUUUUACUGUGCUGUGUUUGCUUUUGUGCUAGAUCUUGCUUUCAUUUACGUAUAUUUGACUGUCGUCUCUCGCAAUUGCGUGGUGCGUGUUGUUACGUUUGUGAGUUCCAGCCAUUGUUGCGUUCUGGUUCAUUCAUAAUCUCUUGGGCUGUUUUUUUCUUUCCUUUGCUCUUAGUUUCAUGUUGUUAUGAUGAUUUCCACCAGCCCCUUGUGUUCUUGCCCGGCCGCUCUCUAUUUGCUGCUCUGUGGCUGAGCAGUAUCGUUUUGCGAUAGAAGCUUUCAGUCUAUUAUACUAUAUGUGAAACUCAAAUGCUUGAUGGUUUUGUUUGUUAUGAUCUAUUUUUGGAGUGCCAUUGCUACUACAGUACGUACAUGGCAGAGAAAUGCUGCUGAUAUUAAUGAUCUGUAUCAACGCCUUUCAGAUCUUACCACUGUAGCGAAAUUGGCUGAUAACCCGCGUUACAUUUUUUACGACGGGAAUCGGAAUGAACAUAGCUAGAGAGCGCAGUGCUUGGCAGUUGUUGCCCUGGGUGAAGAUCGUUGCGGCAACAGCAAUGGAGGCCGCAUCUUUGUGUACAAUCAGGGUGACCAGUGCCGGCUUUUGUCAGCUGGUCUUUGUGUUCAAAAAAUUCACAAAGACUCUUUGUCAAAGAGCAUAUGACAAAAGACAGCACCGACAGACAUGGAAGAUGAGGGCCGGCAAAACAGAACCGCAUCGCAUAUGCGGGAGUAUAUUCCUAUUCCGUUUCUCAAGCGACGCGUCAGCGAUGACGUGCGACCGGACGACUGACUUAACCAAGCAAGCACCAGAGGCAUAUGCCGAUUGGAGCAGUUGAAGCGCCGCCAGGGAAGACCAAAAACCUGUCCUUUGCAUAGUUUGUACUGCAUUCCAUGGUUUUACCAGAUAUGGAAAAAUAUCCAAUUAUAUCAGUCCUUAGAGCAUGUACAAUUGUUGAUAAGACUGUUUUAUCUUAUGGCUGUAACGUUAUUUAGAAAGGACAAUAAAAAAUGAUGUGCAAUUCGUUAUUCUUACUUACCCUCGUCUUCAAUAACUAGAUAUCUCUAAUAUGUCGUGAGACAAUUGUUUCUAAAAAUUCUUUUUUUGGGGGGACAGGACAAGCGUGUACAACCCCUAAAAAUUCAAAAUACACACGAAGAAACAAAAAGGAGAAAUUCAGGUAUGAAUAGGCCAUUUUGCUUUUGUCUUCGUUUUACACUAAUCAUGAUGGAUUUGUCUUUUAUGUUUUUCAAUGUGUAUUUAGAUUUUGGAUCUGAGUUUUUUUAGGGAUUUGUAUACAUAUGUGUUGCGAACGUUCAUAGUUUUUAUCAAUUUUUUCAAAAUGUUCAAAUUUGAAUUUCAUAAAAUUGGGAGCAUGUAAGGUUUGGUGCAGUGGCGGAGCUUCAUGGGGCCCAAAGGGGGCCAUUGCCCCCCUACUCUAUAAAAUCUCUUUAAGUGUACCCCUAAUUAAUUGUUGGCUUGAAUAUCCAAGGUUUAUGACCCCGCGAAAAGAAAAAAGAAAAUCCAAGGUUUAUGCAUAACUUGUCUUCGUCGCGCCCUCAACAAUCUUCAUCAAGCUCUUCUGGUCCCUGAUGCUUUCUGCACCAGAUAUAUCUUUCUUCCUGUGUUAGCGCACAUUUCUUUCUUCAUGCUCUCAAACAAUUUUUGCGAUGGGGACACCGGCUUCCAAGUCAUGUUGAUUGGUUAGCACGCACUCUCGAAACAUGUUCUGGACGAGUCGAGGCAUAAUUUUUGCUACAUCUUAAUUACUUUUCUUUAAAAAAUCCAUUUACUUCAAUUUUUUGAUAAAAUCCAUUUACUUCGUGGAUGCUAGUANNNNNNNNNNNNNNNNNNNNNNNNNNNNNNNNNNNNNNNNNNNNNNNNNNNNNNNNNNNNNNNNNNNNNNNNNNNNNNNNNNNNNNNNNNNNNNNNNNNNNNNNNNNNNNNNNNNNNNNNNNNNNNNNNNNNNNNNNNNNNNNNNNNNNNNNNNNNNNNNNNNNNNNNNNNNNNNNNNNNNNNNNNNNNNNNNNNNNNNNNNNNNNNNUUACAUGUCAGUUUUGCCUAUAUGGAGGGCAGAGACAUUAGAAGAUGACGGAAAUGAUUCUCAUGCAAGAGUUUAACUAUAUGCGUACUUCUAUGCAAAUACAAUAAAUAUGAAGAAAGAGAUAGAGAGAAGGUGAAAAGAAGUACUACUCUUAUAGCCAAACUUGUUGUAUGAGUGACUAUAAGUGAUGAUUAUAUAUGACAUGACAACAUCAGAUAACUAGUAGUUGAUUAUACUAUUAACCAUGCUAUAAUCAGGGGAUCGUAUUCCUCAUUCUCCAUACGCGGCUGUUAUGAUCCCGUGCUUUUGUGAGCUUGGUUGAACAGUAAAAUUUAAAAAAACAAUUUAGAAAUUUCUGGAUUUUUUUUAUGAAACUUUGACAAAUAUUUUGAUAGCUUGCAGAAUUUCAUCGCUAGAUGAAAUUUGUGUAAAAUGUGGCAAAAAACAAAACCGAUGUUCCAAAAAUAUUAUUUUCAAACGCAUUUUGGCAAUUCCUUGUCCUAUUUUUUUUUCUCUGACGUGAAACGGAGAUCCAACUGGCCCAUGAGACGGAAAAUCUGGCGAUCUUCUUUUACGGAUCUGGUCAAUUACCUCUGUAACCACGGCCCCCUAAACCCUUGCUCGAUCUCCCCCAAAUCCCAACCGGCCGAUCAUCAUGCCGCCGUCACGGCCGCCACGUCGCCGCUGCGGCCGACGGCGGCGCUCGGCCACCGCAGCAGGGACGGAUCCCUCCGCAGGCGGGAGCAGAGGGUGGCUCGCCGCCCGCCGCAGGCCGUUCAAGCGGCCCGGGCCCGAGCACGGCGACCAGGCGCUGCCCCUGUGCGACGAGACCCUGCUCCUCGUCUUCUCCGCCCUCUCCGACGCCGGGGACCUCGUCCGCUGCGCGUCCACCUGCAGGCGCUGGCGCCGCCUCGUCUCCUCCGACGCCGCCUUCAUCUGCCGCCGCGGCCCCCCGCGCUGCGACCGCUUCGCCCGCCGCCUCGCGGUCGGCGUCUUCCUGCACGGCGCCCGCGGCCGCGGCCGCUCCCGCGGCGACGGCUUCGUGCCCUUCACCAAGCCCGAUCUCUCGAUCGCCGACGGCGGGGUGCCGGGCUCGUCGUCGCGCGUCGUCGCGUCCCGCAACGGCCGCGUCGUGAUGGACCUCCGCCGCGCCAAGAGCGCCUGCGUGCUGCGCCUCUGCGUGUGCGACCCCAUGACCGGCAACGCCGACCUGCUCCCGCCCCUGGCCGGCAAGGACCGCCCGGGCCCGUACGCGUGCGCCCUGCUCACCGCCGACGACGGGCUCCACCUCUACGACGCAUGCGCGGCCACGUCCCCGUCCCCGUCCUCGUACCGCGUGCUCCUCCUCUACAACCACCGCAGCUACACGGCGCUCCGUCGCUACUCCUCGGACGACGGCAGCUGGGGCCCGGAGGUGGAGGUGACCGGCGCCCGGAUCGCGAGGGGGCGGCAGCUGGGCGUCAGGGCGCACGCCACGCUGGUGCGGGGCGGCGCGGUCUGCUGGUACGGGCUCGGCAUCGCCGUCAACCCCGCCACGCUGCACACGUCCAGCUUUGGCUACACCGUGCAGGCCUUCGAGUCGCCGCCGCGCCGCGCCAAGGCCUCCCUCGGCGAGGUGGACCGGCUGCUGGGGCUGAUGCCGGACGGGCGGCUGUGCGUGCUGGAGUGCAAGGCCGACGCGGUGCGCGCCUACGUGGUCGUCUACGCCGACGCGGUGAGGAACGGCGGCGUGUCGGGGAGGAAGGAGUGGCGGUGGACGCUGAACGCGGAGCUGAUGGGCCUGCAGGCGGUGAGGCUGCGGUGGUUCUGCGAGCAGAGCGGCGUGGCGCUCUUCACGGCGAGGAACCGGGGCGGCAAGACGCAGGUGUACGCGGUGGACGUGGAGACGAUGCAGGUGGGCAGGGUGGACUGGUCGGGGGACGACGGCGACGGCGGCGACGGGGACAUGGACGUGUGUGGGUACGAGAUGGACCGGGUGGCCAUGCUCGCCGAGCUCGACCACUCCGCUGAGCUCCAUCCAGCUCCUCGGCAGCUCUGAUUCAACAUUCUUUUCCUUAUUUUUCCCUUCUUUUUCUACAAAAUUUCAUUGAUUUCUGCAAUGACUGCAAAUUGUAGUUUUUGUAUAGGAGUAUUUAUAAUGCUUUUCGAAAAAUCAGUACUAAUACUGCAACCCAAACUGGUUCCAUUAUCGCCACUGUCAUUGUUCUCGCGAAAAUUGGAUCUGGGUCACCAAAUGAACCAAGCAUCUCAUACAGGUACAUGGAUUGUUUGCAUAUAAACACCAAUGAACUUCUGACUAAAAUUUUCAACUUUUAAGGGAACAGAAACCACUUCUGACUAAAAUUUUCAACUUUUAAGGGAACAGUUAAAUUUAUAGCAGUAACAUAAAAAUACAAAACAUGAUUUCUUUGGCAGCAAACAUCGGUGAAUAUUCUACUCCCUCUAUAAAGAAACAGUUUGUCUAAUUCACAUCUAGAUGUUUUUUAAGGAUGUCACAUCUAACCUCCCACAAGUAAGGCAACAACAAAGAACAAAAAAACUGGGACAAAAAAAAAAUAGACUACAAGCGUAGUGGAGAUCAGGUUAGAUGUGACAACAUCUAGAUGUGUCCUAAACAGACCCACAAAAAAAUAUAUUUCUUUUCGGAGGGAGUACAUACUUGGAAACUUCUUGAAAAAAAUAACACUCCUAAUACUCUGUCAAUAGCAAAAUCAAUGCUCCAGAAAGAAUAUUUUUGAAAGCAUUUGAUUUUGUAAAACAAAUCCUAGACCUCCACGAAUGUGAUUUCAUCACGAAAUUUGCAUGCACAUAGAAAACUAAGCAAUGUUCGUUGUAAAAAAAAUUCAGACUUUUAUUGUUCAUGAGCUCUUGAGCUCGAGAUUAUAAGGGACCCUUUCACCCGUUUGCAUUGUUUACACACCGAACACAAUCAUCAUUCAUCAGCCAAGCAACAACUAAACUGCAGCAACAUCAUCG